This 505-nucleotide ribosomal RNA is filed under the name uncultured bacterium. Its description in RNAcentral is "partial 16S ribosomal RNA". It matches the Rfam family "Bacterial small subunit ribosomal RNA", at positions 28 to 507 of the family's 1533-position model. The record is from RNAcentral.
GACGAACGCUGGCGGCGUGCCUAAUACAUGCAAGUAGAACGCACAGUUUAUACCGUAGCUUGCUACACCAUAGACUGUGAGUUGCGAACGGGUGAGUAACGCGUAGGUAACCUGCCUGGUAGCGGGGGAUAACUAUUGGAAACGAUAGCUAAUACCGCAUAAUAUUAAUUAUUGCAUGAUAAUUAAUUGAAAGGUGCAAUUGCACCACUACCAGAUGGACCUGCGUUGUAUUAGCUAGUAGGUGAGGUAACGGCUCACCUAGGCGACGAUACAUAGCCGACCUGGAGAGGUGGUCGGCCACACUGGGACUGGAGCACGGCCCAAGAUCCUAAGGGAGGCAGGAGUAGGGAAACUUCGGCAAUGGACGGAAGUCUGACCGGGGAACGCCGCGUGAGUGGAGGAGGUUCUCGGGUCGGAAAGCUCUGUUGUAAGGGAAGAACGGGUGUGGUAGUGGAAAGUUCACACUGUGACGGUAUCUUACCAGAAAGGGACGGCUAACUACGUG